CAGCAGCCGCGGGAAUACGUAGGUGGCAAGCGUUGUCCGGAAUUAUUGGGCGUAAAGCGAGCGCAGGCGGUUUGAUAAGUCUGAAGUUAAAGGCUGUGGCUCAACCAUAGUUCGCUUUGGAAACUGUCAAACUUGAGUGCAGAAGGGGAGAGUGGAAUUCCAUGUGUAGCGGUGAAAUGCGUAGAGAUGUGGAGGAACACCAGUGGCGAAGGCGACUCUCUGGUCUGUAACUGACGCUGAGGAGCGAAAGCGUGGGGAGCGAACAGGAUUAGAUACCCCUGUAGUCCCUGUCUCUUAUACA
This 301-nucleotide ribosomal RNA is filed under the name uncultured bacterium. Its description in RNAcentral is "partial 16S ribosomal RNA". It matches the Rfam family "Bacterial small subunit ribosomal RNA", at positions 509 to 808 of the family's 1533-position model. The record is from RNAcentral.